RNAcentral lists this ribosomal RNA (495 nucleotides) under uncultured bacterium. RNAcentral describes it as "partial 16S ribosomal RNA". It matches the Rfam family "Bacterial small subunit ribosomal RNA", at positions 28 to 507 of the family's 1533-position model. The record is from RNAcentral.
GACGAACGCUGGCGGCGUGCCUAAUACAUGCAAGUAGAACGCUGAAGGAGGAGCUUGCUUCUCUGGAUGAGUUGCGAACGGGUGAGUAACGCGUAGGUAACCUGCCUGGUAGCGGGGGAUAACUAUUGGAAACGAUAGCUAAUACCGCAUAAUAGUAGAUGUUGCAUGACAUUUGCCUAAAAGGUGCAAUUGCAUCACUACCAGAUGGACCUGCGUUGUAUUAGCUAGUUGGUGGGGUAACGGCUCACCAAGGCGACGAUACAUAGCCGACCUGAGAGGGUGAUCGGCCACACUGGGACUGAGACACGGCCCAGACUCCUACGGGAGGCAGCAGUAGGGAAUCUUCGGCAAUGGACGGAAGUCUGACCGAGCAACGCCGCGUGAGUGAAGAAGGUUGUCGGAUCGUAAAGCUCGGUUGUAAGAGAAGAACGAGUGUGAGAGUGGAAAGUUCACACUGUGACGGUAUCUUACCAGAAAGGGACGGCUAACUACGUG